Molecule: ribosomal RNA, 299 nt
Filed under: uncultured Parcubacteria group bacterium
Lineage: Bacteria
Description: partial 16S ribosomal RNA
Rfam family: Bacterial small subunit ribosomal RNA
Source: RNAcentral
GAUAAACGCUGGCGGCGUGCUUAACACAUGCAAGUCGAGAGGGUUUAGACCCUCGGCAAACGGGUGAGUAACGCGUAGGAAUCUGCCUUAGAGUCUCGGAUAACCCAUCGAAAGGUGGGAUAAUACGAGAUAGUCUCCGACGCAAGUCGGAGUAAAGAUUUAUUGCUCUAAGAGGAGCCUGCGUCCUAUCAGCUUGUUGGUAAGGUAAAAGCUUACCAAGGCAAUGACGGGUAGCUGGAUCGAGAGGUUGACCAGCCACAAUGGGACUGAGACACGGCCCAUACUCCUACGGGAGGCUG